This 253-nucleotide ribosomal RNA is filed under the name uncultured bacterium. RNAcentral describes it as "partial 16S ribosomal RNA". It matches the Rfam family "Bacterial small subunit ribosomal RNA", at positions 524 to 776 of the family's 1533-position model. The record is from RNAcentral.
UACGUAGGGUCCAAGCGCUAAUCGGAAUUACUGGGCGUAAAGCGUGCGCAGGCGGUUUUGUAAGCCAGAUGUGAAAUCCCCGGGCUUAACCUGGGAAUGGCAUUUGGGACUGCAAGGCUCGAGUGCGGCAGAGGAGACUGGAAUUCCUGGUGUAGCAGUGAAAUGCGUAGAUAUCAGGAGGAACACCGAUGGCGAAGGCAGGUCUCUGGGCUGACACUGACGCUCAUGCACGAAAGCGUGGGGAGCAAACAGG